Long non-coding RNA from Ailuropoda melanoleuca (giant panda), 920 nucleotides. RefSeq lists it as uncharacterized. The transcript is spliced from 3 exons. The record is from RefSeq and is a predicted model, not a curated record. Lineage: Eukaryota; Metazoa; Chordata; Mammalia; Carnivora; Ursidae.
CAGUGGUUGGCUUUCUGCCCUCAGAGCGUUUCGCGGGCGUGAAGGGCAAGGUUUCCCGCCUCCCAUCCCCGCUCUUUUGACAGACUGAGGAGAGCUUCGAACAAAGUACCAAGGGAGACUUGUACAAGAGGCUAAACGCAGGUGGCCUUCUAGAGGAGGUGACAGUAGUGCUAGGGCAUGCAGGGUGUGAGUAGGUAAGGCCGUCGGGGAGUGCGUCCCUGAGGAGGGGAUGCAGAGCUGAAGCUGAGAAGACCGGGCCACUUGGAGGUGUGAAGGAGGAGAGCUCCAGGCAGCAACACGCGUGGUGGUUUUGAGGAGCAGAAUGAAUGUCAGGGGUGGCUGCAGCGGCCAAGCAAAGGUGUGCUGCUGCUGGUCUUUGACUGGAGGGGAUUGUCAGAAAUGGAGAAUCCACAGAGAUUCAGCUGAAGCCCUCACUACUUUGAACUGGGACACUCAACUCUAGUAAUAAUGUGCACAUCUGAGACCCUUUGUGUUUCUAACUGUUUGAGGUGCCAUCCUGCCCAUGGCUGGGAGUCUCCUAAUGAACAAAGUCUUGGCAAUGGUGAAGAGCUGGGUAGUAACUAAAGUCCCGAGGCUGACUCCAUCUGCCCUGGGCUAAGAGGGAGACCGAGAAAGAGUGAGCAUCGUCUGACAGCCUGGAGCUGGCCUGGCACUGUCAUCUGGGCUUUGGUGUUGUUAGGAGCAGGUACGACAUGACAACUAGACUGUGGUUUUCUCUUGAUGAACAUAAACAGUUUCACAAAACACCAACACAGCAAGACAAGGCCACCACUGUGAUGGAUCAAGACAAAAAACGAGACCAUUAUCCAAACAGAAAUGACCAAAUAUCUCCAUUCUGGCUAAUAUGAUAAUUAUGCUCCUUUAUCAAUUAUAGCUUUAGUUUUGCUCCUUUCUUCCCA